Non-coding RNA from Phoenix dactylifera (date palm), 1170 nucleotides. The record is from RefSeq and is a predicted model, not a curated record. NCBI's taxonomy places the organism in Eukaryota, Viridiplantae, Streptophyta, Magnoliopsida, Arecales, Arecaceae.
UUCAAUCACCACAAUUAUACUUCAUAUUAACAAGCAGCUUACAUAGAGUCGAUAUUGUUGAAGUUAAUUCUUUUCAUAUUUCUUGUAGUUUGUUAUGGAUUUCACUGUAGAUUAGUGAUCAGCCAUUGGUUCACUCAGAGUGUUUUGAAGUUUGAACCAUUUUGUCGAAGGAAAGGUUUAUAGUCCAGCACUGGCCUUGAUCUUGAUAAUUGGGGUUAUAAAACAUUUCUUUAUAAUGUUAAGGACUCAAGUGUAUAUAUCGUCUAUAACAUCUGCAACAAGCCCUGAUAGUAACAUGCAUCUGAGUUGAUUUUCAGAUCUCAUAUUUGCUAGUAUUCUAGCAUCUUGAAGAAGAUUGAUGCUCUCAAUUCUUGACUCAUAGCUCCUUUACCAUUAAUGUCUAGCAUCUAUUUGAGAAAAUAGAUAUGGGCUAUCAGAUAAGAGCAGGGCUCAGAAGUAAUUUACUUUGCAUAAAUCCAUCAUCCCCCAUUAGAAUUUAGAAGAAAAUAAUUGCCUGGCUGUCUAUCCAGCAUUCUUUCACAAUUGCCUUACUAGGGUGCUUAUCUGACCCUGUUUUGUACUGUCAGCUAAAUCUCCAUGAUUCAUUUUGUGGGUUAUUUGGAGAGGAUUCAAACUCUAGAACUCCAUGUGGAAGCUGGGAUGGAGGUGCCUUCUUCCACAUGCCUAUCUGCAUUACUGUCUUCCUUCAUGGGAAAGGGUAUCACUUUUACUAUGAUGAUGCUAGGGCAAAUCUAGAGCAUCUAAAAGAUUCUUCCGUUAACAUCAGAAUUUUUCGUUCUAGCAAGGUCUUCCAUCUUUAAUUGGAAACCAGAUCGAGUUUCUUAGAAGUAAUGUCCUUGAGGUUUCUAUUCUUAAAAUGCAUCUGUGAUUCUUACCUCUUAUACAACUAAAAGCAUUUUGGAAAAAAUGUCAACAACAAAUUCAUCUUGCAAACUCAUCAGUGUUUUCUGGUCAAGUCCUGGUCACAGCAAUUUGUUGGCCAAUCCUAUUGAAGGAUGAAACCGCAGGUUGUGGAUGGGCUCAAUUUUCAGCACUGCAAUCCAAAAUGCUACAUUUUGAAGACAGAUCUUGCAAGUUUGCCAAUUUAUGACCACUUUCCAUGCUUCUCUGCAGCAUGCCGACUGAACUAGGCUUGGGACCCUAGUAAAU